GAGGUUCCUGCAACUUAUUCUUUUAUCUUUCAAUGCCCCUUGACAAUCAUUAUCCACCUGACCGUUUGCUUUUUUUUUCUACUUGAAUAUGGGUGGGAUCACACGUGAUUAUUAGAUGAGAUGUGAACCGUGAGAUGCAAUUCAAUCUAUCUAAGAAACCACGACCCUUCUUUUCUGUUCUCGGUUCAGGCAUUUCUUUGUAUUGCUUUUUUUC
RNAcentral lists this long non-coding RNA (214 nucleotides) under Lathyrus oleraceus (garden pea). RNAcentral's name for it is "Pisum sativum (pea) long non-coding RNA (PSAT_LNC021133)". The record is from RNAcentral. Lineage: Eukaryota; Viridiplantae; Streptophyta; Magnoliopsida; Fabales; Fabaceae.